Molecule: unclassified non-coding RNA, 264 nt
Filed under: Hevea brasiliensis (rubber tree)
Lineage: Eukaryota; Viridiplantae; Streptophyta; Magnoliopsida; Malpighiales; Euphorbiaceae
Source: RNAcentral
GUGACAUCCCAAGUUUUUUAACAAAACCCUUUGCCUUCAGUCUACAUUGGAACAAAGUGUAUAGACAAUUUAAUGUUCAUGUGCUUGCAUAUUCAGGCUUAAACCAAGUGAAAUGAAGGAAAAUGAUUCAUAUAUUUGAUCCCAAUUAGUUUCAGAUAAAGCUUAGUUGAGUUGUAUAUGCCAUGCAUGUACAAAUUUGCACUGUAACAACAGAUCUAGAAACUCUUUCAAUUGGCUAUACCUGGAUAGUGACCACAUUCUCCA